UACGAAGGGGGCUAGCGUUGCUCGGAAUCACUGGGCGUAAAGGGUGCGUAGGCGGGUCUUUAAGUCGGGGGUGAAAUCCUGGAGCUCAACUCCAGAACUGCCUUCGAUACUGGGGAUCUCGAGUCCGGGAGAGGUGAGUGGAACUGCGAGUGUAGAGGUGAAAUUCGUAGAUAUUCGCAAGAACACCAGUGGCGAAGGCGGCUCACUGGCCCGGUACUGACGCUGAGGUGCGAAAGCGUGGGGAGCAAACAGG
Molecule: ribosomal RNA, 253 nt
Filed under: uncultured bacterium
Lineage: Bacteria
Description: partial 16S ribosomal RNA
Rfam family: Bacterial small subunit ribosomal RNA
Source: RNAcentral